GGGUGUGUAGCUCAGGGGUAGAGCACUACGUUGACAUCGUAGGGGUCACAAGUUCGAAACUUGUCAUACCCACCA
RNAcentral lists this transfer RNA (75 nucleotides) under Lactobacillus sp. RNAcentral's name for it is "tRNA-Val". It matches the Rfam family "tRNA". From Rfam's summary of the family: Transfer RNA (tRNA) molecules are approximately 80 nucleotides in length. RNAcentral also lists the same sequence under 1 other name. The record is from RNAcentral. Lineage: Bacteria; Bacillati; Bacillota; Bacilli; Lactobacillales; Lactobacillaceae.